AAUAACAUAGUUUAAGUGUAGAUGAUUACUUUGCGUGUAAUCGGUGAGUGAUUCUGUUGUUA
RNAcentral lists this transfer RNA (62 nucleotides) under Brachylecithum sp. PakAb2. RNAcentral's name for it is "tRNA-Ala". The record is from RNAcentral. Lineage: Eukaryota; Metazoa; Platyhelminthes; Trematoda; Plagiorchiida; Dicrocoeliidae.